Haliotis rubra (blacklip abalone) is the source of this 139-nucleotide long non-coding RNA. RefSeq lists it as uncharacterized. The record is from RefSeq and is a predicted model, not a curated record. The transcript has 4 exons. Lineage: Eukaryota; Metazoa; Mollusca; Gastropoda; Lepetellida; Haliotidae.
UCGCAAACCAGUUGCGAAUUAUGGGAUAUCAUCCGGGUAGUCGCGGGGUAAAAACAAUAACAAAAGCAACAACCAGUCCCGGGGAAUUGCUCUAGAUCAGUGUCCCUUUCAAAAAUGUCAAUACACAUCUAUCAACACU